This 1272-nucleotide ribosomal RNA is filed under the name Triticum aestivum (bread wheat). Its description in RNAcentral is "partial small subunit ribosomal RNA". The record is from RNAcentral. Lineage: Eukaryota; Viridiplantae; Streptophyta; Magnoliopsida; Poales; Poaceae.
AUGCAUAAAACCGCGGUCGUACUUCCUCCGCCAGCCACCAACCCACUCCGCCCCUCCCUAUUUCUCGCCGUCGCGUCCGAACACAGAGCGCAUCGACCGAUCGAACCAAUGGCGAUGGUGACCGCGAAGCUCAGCUCCCCGGCCACCGCCCGGCUCGCCCCCGUCCGGUCCGCGCAGCCCGCCCGCCGCGCCUCGCUCGUCCGCGUCCGCGCCUCCGGCGGCUCCUACGCCGACGAGCUCGUCUCCACCGCGAAAACUGUUGCUUCCCCUGGCCGUGGGAUCCUUGCGAUCGACGAGUCGAGUGCAACAUGUGGAAAGAGAUUGGCAUCCAUUGGUUUGGACAACACGGAAGUUAACCGCCAGGCUUACAGGCAGCUUUUGCUGACCACUGCUGGUCUUGGUGAAUAUAUCUCUGGUGCUAUUCUUUUUGAGGAAACUCUCUAUCAGUCCACUACAGAUGGCAAGACCUUUGUUGACGUCUUGAAGGACCAGAAUAUCAUGCCUGGUAUCAAGGUUGACAAGGGUUUGGUUCCAUUGCCCGGAUCCAACAAUGAAUCCUGGUGCCAAGGUCUUGAUGGUUUGGCCUCAAGGUGCGCUGAGUACUACAAGCAGGGUGCACGCUUCGCAAAGUGGCGAACUGUUGUUAGCAUCCCCUGUGGUCCUACUGCAUUAGCUGUCAAGGAAGCGGCAUGGGGACUUGCUCGCUAUGCUGCUAUUGCUCAGGACAAUGGUUUAGUGCCAAUUGUGGAGCCAGAGAUCCUUCUUGACGGUGACCAUGGCAUUGAGAGAACUCUCGAGGUGGCAGAGAAGGUGUGGUCAGAGGUGUUCUUCUACCUGGCCGAAAACAACGUUCUGUUUGAGGGCAUCCUGCUGAAGCCCAGCAUGGUUACCCCUGGUGCUGAGCACAAGGAGAAGGCUUCUCCAGAAGCCAUUGCGAAGAACACCCUCACAAUGCUGAGGAGGAGAGUACCACCUGCUGUCCCUGGAAUCAUGUUCCUCUCCGGCGGACAGUCCGAGCUGGAGGCAACCAUGAACCUGAACGCGAUGAACCAGUCCGCCAACCCGUGGCACGUGUCCUUCUCCUACGCCCGGGCACUCCAGAACUCGGUGCUGAAGACGUGGGAGGGGCAGCCCGAGAACAUCGAGGCGGCGCAGAAGGCCCUGCUGGUCCGCGCCAAGGCCAACUCCUUGGCGCAGCUCGGCAGCUACACUGGCGAGGGUGAGAGCGACGAGGCCAAGAAGGGCAUGUUCCAGAAGGGAUACACCUACUGA